CUACGGGCGGCAGCAGUGGGGAAUAUUGGACAAUGGGGGAAACCCUGAUCCAGCAAUGCCGCGUGUGUGAAGAAGGCCUGCGGGUUGUAAAGCACUUUCGGUUGGGAGGACUGCUUCUAGCACUAAUAUUGUUGGAAGUUGACGUUACCUUCAGAAGAAGCACCGGGUAACUCCGUGCCAGCAGCCGCGGUAAUACGGGAGGGUGCAAGCGUUAAUCGGAAUUACUGGGCGUAAAGCGCGCGUAGGCGGCUAGAUCAGUCGGGUGUGAAAGCCCCGGGCUUAACCUGGGAACUGCAUCCGAUACUGUCUAGCUUGAGUACAGGAGAGGAGAGUGGAAUUCCACAUGUAGCGGUGAAAUGCGUAGAUAUGUGGAGGAACACCAAUGGCGAAGGCAGCUCUCUGGCCUGAUACUGACGCUGAGGUGCGAAAGCGUGGGGAGCAAACAGGAUUAGAUACCCUUGUAGUC
Molecule: ribosomal RNA, 466 nt
Filed under: uncultured bacterium
Lineage: Bacteria
Description: partial 16S ribosomal RNA
Rfam family: Bacterial small subunit ribosomal RNA
Source: RNAcentral